AGUUCAUUUGUUUUAUGGAUUCUAUAUUUUCAGCUCAGCUGUUGCUGGAGAUUUAUCUGAGUCGCUCAAUGAAAUUAUGUACUAAAAGACUAAGAAGAUUGUUGAUGUCGUCAAUAAGGUCAAUGAGAAGAGAAUAAUUUUUGCUGAUGAAGGAAACAGUGCUGUUUCUACCAAUGGUGAUGAUCUUCCUCCUAUUGUUCUUGUUCAUGGGAUUUUUGGAUUUGGCAAAGGGAAAUUAGGUGCUUUGUCAUACUUUGCUAGGGAAGAGAAGAAAGAUGAAAGGGUUCUGGUUCCGAAUUUGGGGUCUUUAACCAACGUCCAUGAUAGGGCCCGAGAAUUGUUCUAUUAUUUGAAGGGUGGCCAAGUUGAUUAUGGAGAAGAGCACAGCAAGGCUUGUGCACACUCUCAAUUUGGAAGAAUCUAUUAACAAGGUUCGAGGGAUCAUUCAUUCAUUCAAUGCUUUCAUUUUGUUCUUGUUUUUUUGCACCGCACCCUGUUUUGCUUCCUUUGUAUUUUUCCAUAGAGUUUCAAUGGUGCAUUUGUUGUGUUAUU
Non-coding RNA from Arachis ipaensis, 552 nucleotides. The record is from RefSeq and is a predicted model, not a curated record. NCBI's taxonomy places the organism in Eukaryota, Viridiplantae, Streptophyta, Magnoliopsida, Fabales, Fabaceae.